Molecule: ribosomal RNA, 405 nt
Filed under: uncultured microorganism
Description: bacterial SSU rRNA
Rfam family: Bacterial small subunit ribosomal RNA
Source: RNAcentral
GAGUUUGAUCGUGGCUCAGAUUGAACGCUGGCGGCAUGCCUUACACAUGCAAGUCGAACGGCAGCAUGAUCUAGCUUGCUAGAUUGAUGGCGAGUGGCGAACGGGUGAGUAAUACAUCGGAACGUGCCCUGUAGUGGGGAGUAACUAGUCGAAGAUUAGCUAAUACCGCAUACGACCUGAGGGUGGAAAGUAGGGGGACCGGCAAGGCCUCAUGCUAUAGGAGCGGCCGAUGUCUGAUUAGCUAGUUGGUGGGGUAAAGGCCCGACCAAGGCGACGAUCAGUAGCUGGUCUGAGAGGACGAUCAGCCACACUGGGACUGAGACACGGCCCAGACUCCUACGGGAGGCAGCAGUGGGGAAUUUUGGACAAUGGGCGAAAGCCUGAUCCAGCAAUGCCGCGUGUGUG